AUUGAACGCUGGCGGCAUGCUUUACACAUGCAAGUCGAACGGUAACAGGCCGCAAGGUGCUGACGAGUGGCGAACGGGUGAGUAAUGCAUCGGAACGUGCCCAGUCGUGGGGGAUAACUACUCGAAAGAGUAGCUAAUACCGCAUACGAUCUAUGGAUGAAAGCGGGGGACCGUAAGGCCUCGCGCGAUUGGAGCGGCCGAUGUCGGAUUAGGUAGUUGGUGGGUAAAGGCUCACCAAGCCAACGAUCUGUAGCUGGUCUGAGAGGACGACCAGCCACACUGGGACUGAGACACGGCCCAGACUCCUACGGGAGGCAGCAGUGGGGAAUUUUGGACAAUGGGCGCAAGCCUGAUCCAGCAAUGCCGCGUGCAGGAAGAAGGCCUUCGGGUUGUAAACUGCUUUUGUACGGAACGAAACGGCUCUGGUUAAUACCCGGGGCUAAUGACGGUACCGUAAGAAUAAGCACCGGCUAACUACGUG
This 481-nucleotide ribosomal RNA is filed under the name uncultured bacterium. RNAcentral describes it as "partial 16S ribosomal RNA". It matches the Rfam family "Bacterial small subunit ribosomal RNA", at positions 30 to 507 of the family's 1533-position model. The record is from RNAcentral.